GGGGUUGUGGCUCAGUGGUAGAGUGCUCGUCUACCACAUGUGAAGCCCUGGGUUCGAUCCUCAGCACCA
Molecule: transfer RNA, 69 nt
Filed under: Ictidomys tridecemlineatus (thirteen-lined ground squirrel)
Lineage: Eukaryota; Metazoa; Chordata; Mammalia; Rodentia; Sciuridae
Description: Spermophilus tridecemlineatus (thirteen-lined ground squirrel) tRNA
Rfam family: tRNA
About the family: Transfer RNA (tRNA) molecules are approximately 80 nucleotides in length. Their secondary structure includes four short double-helical elements and three loops (D, anti-codon, and T loops). Further hydrogen bonds mediate the characteristic L-shaped molecular structure. tRNAs have two regions of fundamental functional importance: the anti-codon, which is responsible for specific mRNA codon recognition, and the 3' end, to which the tRNAs corresponding amino acid is attached (by aminoacyl-tRNA synthetases). tRNAs cope with the degeneracy of the genetic code in two manners: having more than one tRNA (with a specific anti-codon) for a particular amino acid; and 'wobble' base-pairing, i.e. permitting non-standard base-pairing at the 3rd anti-codon position.
Source: Rfam by way of RNAcentral